CCUACGGGAGGCAGCAGUGAGGAAUAUUGGUCAAUGGGCGCGAGCCUGAACCAGCCAAGCAGCGUGAAUGAUGACUGCCCUCCGGGUUGUAAGCUUUUUUUAUAAAGGAAUAAAGUGAGGCACGUGUGCCUUUUUGUAUGUACUUCAUGAAUAAGGAUCGGCGAACUCCGCGUCAGCAGCCGCGGUAAUACGGAGGAUCCGAGCGUUAUCCGGAUUUAUUGGGGUUAACGGGAGCGUAGAUGGGGUGUUAAGUCAGACGUGAAAGGUAGCGGCUCAACCGUAAAAUUGCAAUUGAUACUGGCAGUCUUGAGUACAGGAGAGGUAGGCGGAAUUCGUGGUGUAGCGGUGAAAUGCUUAGAUAUCACGAAGAACUCCGAUGGCGAAGGCAGCUUACUGGACUGCCACUGACGUUGAUGCUCGAAAGUGUGGGUAUCAAACAGGAUUAGAUACCCUAGUAGUC
This 460-nucleotide ribosomal RNA is filed under the name uncultured bacterium. RNAcentral's name for it is "partial 16S ribosomal RNA". It matches the Rfam family "Bacterial small subunit ribosomal RNA", at positions 338 to 795 of the family's 1533-position model. The record is from RNAcentral.